AGGACGAACGCUGGCGGCGUGCUUAAUACAUGCAAGUCGAGCGAGGUUACUGUUUUGGAUCCCUUCGGGGUGAAGAAGCUUUAACCUAGCGGCGGACGGGUGAGUAACGCGUGGGUAACCUACCCCAAAGUCCGGGAUAACAGCGGGAAACCGCUGCUAAUACCGGAUGCCUUUACCUUGGGGCAUCUUGAGGUAAAGAAAGGUAACGCUUUGGGAUGGGCCCGCGUCCCAUUAGCUAGUUGGUGAGGUAACGGCUCACCAAGGCGACGAUGGGUAGCCGGCCUGAGAGGGUGGACGGCCACACUGGGACUGAGACACGGCCCAGACUCCUACGGGAGGCAGCAGUAGGGAAUAUUGCGCAAUGGACGGAAGUCUGACGCAGCGACGCCGCGUGAGCGAUGAAGGUCUUCGGAUCGUAAAGCUCUGUCCUUGGGGAAGAAGGCGAAAGCUUGACGGUACCCAAGAAGAAAGCCCCGGCUAACUACGUG
RNAcentral lists this ribosomal RNA (488 nucleotides) under uncultured bacterium. RNAcentral describes it as "bacterial SSU rRNA". It matches the Rfam family "Bacterial small subunit ribosomal RNA", at positions 26 to 507 of the family's 1533-position model. The record is from RNAcentral.